RNAcentral lists this unclassified non-coding RNA (1897 nucleotides) under Lytechinus variegatus (green sea urchin). RNAcentral describes it as "uncharacterized LOC121423486, transcript variant X2". The record is from RNAcentral. Lineage: Eukaryota; Metazoa; Echinodermata; Echinoidea; Temnopleuroida; Toxopneustidae.
CAUGUUCUUCGGCUCGCUUGCAUUCUUCAGUGAUUAGAGAGAGAGAGAGAGAAUGUGAACAGGUGUGGAAGCAAGGAGUGUUGGUAAUUCCUUGGUGGAAGUGAGCUGUGAGUGGGAGUGGCUGAAGUGACAAGAGUCGCAAAAGAGGAUUAAUUCACCGAGAGAGCAGUUGGGGAGUGGUCAAGAGAGUUACGUAAGUUGGAAGAAUAAUGGAAAGCCGAAGAACUUGAAUUUGGAAUCGGAGUACACAAUAAUUAAGUUCCGUUUUAUACACUUACAUCAUAGGCGGAUUAAUUUCGCGCAUUACACAAAGUGAGAGGAUCGACUUGGGGAAAGCCUUUUUUCGCCACGCGGUGUUUGACCAAAAAGGGGAUAAAAAGGGAGUGUUUAGUUGACAAGGGGCAGUUUUUCGUUCCCGAUUUGUUUUGCCGCCGUAGGCCAUGUCGGUUUAAUUUUUGUCUGUCGUCGGUCGUCCAGCCCAGAGAUGCGACAUAUAUUAUUAUCCAGCAUGUAAUUUGACUUUGAUUUAGAAUAAAACCUGAUACACAACUUAACUUCAUCGAACUUGUCAUUCUUUGACUCCCGUCUUUUUUUGUACGUGGGCAGCGCAAGACGGUGGGCGGCCACCGGCCGUCUUGCAAAGCUGUGCCGCUACAAAAUUGGUAGUACGGAUGGGGUCGGUCGACCGUCAUCUUCAGCAUGUUCGGGGAACGUUUUAGUCCUUCAGUCUGGUUUUACGCAUAAACACAAUGUUUAUCGGACAUUGAUAUAAAUUCAACAAGGAGAGCUUCACUUCAUGUCACCGGUUCCGGCUUAUUUUUUGUUCGAGGAUGUGAAUUGAUAUUAUUUUAACUUUAACGUUGGAGAGAGAAAUUCAGCUGCAGGGGUUGGAUUGAGCCCCCACAUCGCCCGGGUUUUCGACGUUGGGACCUUACAUGUGCCGUUGAGCUCAGGAGAAAGAACCCUUCGUCCUGGGACUCACGCCUGGCUGCAUUGUAGCGAGGAGUCGAGGGACCUGUGAAAACCACUGCAAAUAGACCUGACGGGGUAGCAUAGCUGGUUUCCACUAAAACCCUCCGGAUUAGUUGGUACCGACGAAGUCUGGUGAUUUCACAUUACACUGCGGUGAGAGGAGUCGUUUAACUGCGCGAGAAUCGUCUUGGAAGGGGCUGUAAAGGAACUCAGCAGGGCGAUUGCUUUUCCUUUGGUCGUCUCAUGAGGAUGGAUUGAGGUUAGGUACUGAAGGCCGCAGGCGCUAGUCCGGCUCGGGGAGUUGGACGCUAUCGAGGAGCUCCGAGACAUCGUUCUUCCAACCAACGCUUCGACACGGCCCUUCAUCUUCGUCAUCGACGUGGUGUGGUAGACCCUGUCUUCGAUAUCUUCGACGGUGGAAGCUGGCACUGUCGUUUGGAAGCCGAUAGCCUUGGCGAGUGAAGCAGCAGGAGUCGCUGAAAAUGGACCCAGAACUGAGAUUUGUGUGGGAACGGUGGAGCGCGGGUGCGCAAACUGGAAACCGGUAGAUGAAACCGGGGGUUGAAUUUCCCGCACGUUUUUCAGAACCAGAUAAGUUUGAAACAAUGGUUAUAUCAAUGGUCUAAUUUUACUGUUAAAGAUGGAAUAUUAGGAAGGAAGGUUCUUGAUCCUUUAUUUGGUAAUAUAUUUCAAAUUUUACUCCCACAGUGUUUGCGUAAGAGUAUUUUAGUUGGAUGUCAUGAUGAAUGGGGACAUCGAGGUAGAAAUAAAACUGAACAAUUGGCUAUAGGUCAAGAGUUUAUUGGCCUGGCAUGGCUCGUGAUAUAGAAUUUUAUGUUAAAAGAUGUAUUAAAUGUGCUAAGGCAAAGGAGAUGCAGCCUCGGGUAAGAACCCCAAUGAGACAUCUAAUGGCAUUUAGUCCAUU